Molecule: ribosomal RNA, 252 nt
Filed under: uncultured bacterium
Lineage: Bacteria
Description: partial 16S ribosomal RNA
Rfam family: Bacterial small subunit ribosomal RNA
Source: RNAcentral
GAUCAUGGCUCAGGAUUAACGCUGGCGGCGCACAUAAGACGUGCAAGUCGAACGGACUUAAUCGAUUCUUUUAGAUUCGAAGCGGUUAGUGGCGGACUGGUGAGUAACACGUAAGGAACCUGCCUAUUAGAGGGGAAUAACAACGAGAAAUCGUUGCUAAUACCGCAUAAGCUAGUAGUACCGCAUGGUACAGCUAGAAAAGGNGAAAUCCACUAAUAGAUGGCCUUGCGUCCGAUUAGCUAGUUGGUGGGG